Molecule: long non-coding RNA, 1393 nt
Filed under: Pogona vitticeps (central bearded dragon)
Lineage: Eukaryota; Metazoa; Chordata; Lepidosauria; Squamata; Agamidae
Description: lncRNA (ENSPVIG00000012279.1)
Source: RNAcentral
CUGGAUACUAUCAAGCAAUCCAGUCGCCUCCCAGAAACGAAGUUGAAAGACCUAAGAGUUAGAUUGUACAACAUGCUAAGACAGAAAAAAUUACCUUAAAACAAUUUCAGGAGUUGGUGGGGCACCUGAAAUUUGCUUGCAAAGUGGUGGCGCCAGGCAGCCCCUUUUUGCAGCAUUUUUGCAAUGCCAUGAAGGGCCUCACAAAGCAGCAUCACAGGAGAAGACUUACAAUAGGGAUCAAGGAGGACAUUAGAGUAUAGAUACGCUUCCUUGAGGAAUUCAAUGGAUUUUCAUUCUGGAGGGAGGACAGAAGGCUGGGCUUAGAAUUACAGGUGGAAACUGAUGCAGCCGGAUCAAUGGGUUAUGGCAUAUAUUACAGCGGGAAAUGGUGUGCAGAAAAGUGGCCAGAUGAAUGGCUAACUUCCAGAGUUACAAUGGACCUCAUGUUUUUGAGCUUUUUCCAACAGUUUGGACGUUAUGGCUGUGGGCAGAUGAGUGGGCUAUCAGAUAGGUUUAGCUGUUAAAUGAAUUAGUUGUUUGUUAGAAUAAAUAUGUCUGUUAAGUUAAAGGAUAAUAUGCUAACGUAACUAAGUCAAGUACAUGUUUAUAUAUAAAGCACCAAAUGUCAAAGCACUGUGAGUUUAUUCUAUUCUGCAUGUUUUAAACAGUAAAAAUUAUUUAAUGUUUUUAAAGAAGACCAAGUUAUCAUUUUAUUUACUUUCAGCUGCUGGCACACAUAUACACACAUGGGAGAAUUUUUACUCUGAGUAUUUUUUUAUUAUAACUCCUGAAACCUCUGUGUGCAAUCUGUCAGUUACAUUUAAUAUAUAUUUUUAUAACCAAACCAACAGACUGAAAGACAACAAGGGCUGCAGAAGGACCAAAUUGACUGAAACAGCCAGUGAGUUUUGCCUCUCGCCAUUGAUGUGCACUGCAUAUGUAUGUGUGAAGCAGCCCUCCUGUUCUCUUUACCUGCAAAUAUAUCUCAUAACUGGAGUAUACAGCCAAAUCUCAGUUCUUCCAGAAAGGGCAUUUUGACACAGUGGGACACGGUGUUGAAAAAAAAAAUUGUCAAGUGCUGCCAGCUUUUCGCUCCUACCUGAGAACUAACAAAGAGAACAGCAAAGAGCAAAACAAAAAAACACAAUGGAACAAAAACAAAAGAACGUCUUAUAUCUUGCAUAAAAAGCCUUGUAUACAAGCUCUCACACAUAACAGAAACUUUAUGUGCAUAAACCACUUCUGAAGCAAAGAAAGAAAGAAAGAAAGAAAGAAAGAAAGAAAGAAAGAAAGAAAGAAAGAAAGAAAGAAACACACACACACCACUUCCCUGCCUCCCAUCCUCUCUCUCUCUCUCUGAAAAUAAAAAUGCACAAAAGUGUUUAUGAUCCCA